RNAcentral lists this ribosomal RNA (254 nucleotides) under uncultured bacterium. Its description in RNAcentral is "partial 16S ribosomal RNA". It matches the Rfam family "Bacterial small subunit ribosomal RNA", at positions 524 to 776 of the family's 1533-position model. The record is from RNAcentral.
UACGUAGGGUGCGAGCGUUAAUCGGAAUUACUGGGCGUAAAGCGUGCGCAGGCGGUCUGUUAAGUCCGACGUGAAAUCCCCGGGCUUAACCUGGGAACUGCAUUGGUGACUGGCAGGCUUUGAGUGUGGCAGAGGGAGGUAGAAUUCCACGUGUAGCGGUGAAAUGCGUAGAUAUCUGGAGGAAUACCGGUGGCGAAGGCGGCAUCCUGGACCGGCAUUGACGCUGAGGAGCGAAAGCCAGGGGAGCAAACGGG